CUCUAAUAUUGUCAAUGAUCUUGUCAUUUCUUCUAACUGCAUACUUCAAAUGACUUCUAUACUUCCUGGCAUUCACUGGGGUCUUUACUGUGCACUCCUCAAUUGCUGCCAGGGGUCACUUAAGCUGUACAGUUAUAGUGGUUCUCUGCUGCUGUUAUCAUACUGGAUGGGUUCUUCUGAUACUGUAUCGUGCUCUUCUUCGGGAUUGCUGGUUUAUUCAAUGGGCCAUCCUCCUUUGUAUACAAUUGU
Molecule: long non-coding RNA, 249 nt
Filed under: Elaeis guineensis (African oil palm)
Lineage: Eukaryota; Viridiplantae; Streptophyta; Magnoliopsida; Arecales; Arecaceae
Description: long non-coding RNA (EGUI_LNC018734)
Source: RNAcentral